RNAcentral lists this ribosomal RNA (576 nucleotides) under Fusarium oxysporum. RNAcentral describes it as "partial large subunit ribosomal RNA". It matches the Rfam family "Eukaryotic large subunit ribosomal RNA", at positions 70 to 664 of the family's 3401-position model. The record is from RNAcentral. Lineage: Eukaryota; Fungi; Ascomycota; Sordariomycetes; Hypocreales; Nectriaceae.
AAGCCAUGCGUAGUACGGCGAGUGAGCGGCAACAGCUCAAAUUUGAAAUCUGGCUCUCGGGCCCGAGUUGUAAUUUGUAGAGGAUACUUUUGAUGCGGUGCCUUCCGAGUUCCCUGGAACGGGACGCCAUAGAGGGUGAGAGCCCCGUCUGGUUGGAUGCCAAAUCUCUGUAAAGUUCCUUCAACGAGUCGAGUAGUUUGGGAAUGCUGCUCUAAAUGGGAGGUAUAUGUCUUCUAAAGCUAAAUACCGGCCAGAGACCGAUAGCGCACAAGUAGAGUGAUCGAAAGAUGAAAAGCACUUUGAAAAGAGAGUUAAAAAGUACGUGAAAUUGUUGAAAGGGAAGCGUUUAUGACCAGACUUGGGCUUGGUUAAUCAUCUGGGGUUCUCCCCAGUGCACUUUUCCAGUCCAGGCCAGCAUCAGUUUUCCCCGGGGGAUAAAGGCGGCGGGAAUGUGGCUCUCUUCGGGGAGUGUUAUAGCCCACCGUGUAAUACCCUGGGGGGGACUGAGGUUCGCGCAUCUGCAAGGAUGCUGGCGUAAUGGUCAUCAACGACCCGUCUUGAAACACGGGACCAAAA